This 420-nucleotide ribosomal RNA is filed under the name bacterium. RNAcentral's name for it is "partial 16S ribosomal RNA". It matches the Rfam family "Bacterial small subunit ribosomal RNA", at positions 355 to 776 of the family's 1533-position model. The record is from RNAcentral.
UGGGGGAUAUUGCACAAUGGGCGAAAGCCUGAUGCAGCGACGCCGCGUGGGGGAUGAAGGCUUUCGGGUUGUAAACCUCUUUCGCUAUCGAACAAGGCCCGCUUAGGGUGGGUUGAGGGUAGGUGGAGAAGAAGCGCCGGCUAACUACGUGCCAGCAGCCGCGGUAAUACGUAGGGCGCGAGCGUUGUCCGGAAUUAUUGGGCGUAAAGGGCUUGUAGGCGGCUUGUUGCGCCUGCUGUGAAAACCCGGGGCUUAACUUCGCGCGUGCAGUGGGUACGGGCAGGCUUGAGUGUGGUAGGGGUGACUGGAAUUCCAGGUGUAGCGGUGGAAUGCGCAGAUAUCUGGAGGAACACCGAUGGCGAAGGCAGGUCACUGGGCCAUUACUGACGCUGAGGAGCGAAAGCAUGGGUAGCGAACAGG